AGCUCACUAGUCGAGUGACACUGCGCCGAAAAUGUACCGGGGCUAAACAUAUUACCGAAGCUGUGGAUUGUCCUUUGGACAAUGGUAGGAGAGCGUUCUAAGGGCGUUGAAGCAUGAUCGUAAGGACAUGUGGAGCGCUUAGAAGUGAGAAUGCCGGUGUGAGUAGCGAAAGACGGGUGAGAAUCCCGUCCACCGAUUGACUAAGGUUUCCAGAGGAAGGCUCGUCCGCUCUGGGUUAGUCGGGUCCUAAGCUGAGGCCGACAGGCGUAGGCGAUGGAUAACAGGUUGAUAUUCCUGUACCACCUAUAAUCGUUUUAAUCGAUGGGGGGACGCAGUAGGAUAGGCGAAGCGUGCGAUUGGAUUGCACGUCUAAGCAGUAAGGCUGAGUAUUAGGCAAAUCCGGUACUCGUUAAGGCUGAGCUGUGAUGGGGAGAAGACAUUGUGUCUUCGAGUCGUUGAUUUCACACUGCCGAGAAAAGCCUCUAGAUAGAAAAUAGGUGCCCGUACCGCAAACCGACACAGGUAGUCAAGAUGAGAAUUCUAAGGUGAGCGAGCGAACUCUCGUUAAGGAACUCGGCAAAAUGACCCCGUAACUUCGGGAGAAGGGGUGCUCUUUAGGGUUAACGCCCAGAAGAGCCGCAGUGAAUAGGCCCAAGCGACUGUUUAUCAAAAACACAGGUCUCUGCUAAACCGUAAGGUGAUGUAUAGGGGCUGACGCCUGCCCGGUGCUGGAAGGUUAAGAGGAGUGGUUAGCUUCUGCGAAGCUACGAAUCGAAGCCCCAGUAAACGGCGGCCGUAACUAUAACGGUCCUAAGGUAGCGAAAUUCCUUGUCGGGUAAGUUCCGACCCGCACGAAAGGCGUAACGAUUUGGGCACUGUCUCAACGAGAGACUCGGUGAAAUCAUAGUACCUGUGAAGAUGCAGGUUACCCGCGACAGGACGGAAAGACCCCGUGGAGCUUUACUGUAGCCUGAUAUUGAAAUUCGGCACAGCUUGUACAGGAUAGGUAGGAGCCUUUGAAACGUGAGCGCUAGCUUACGUGGAGGCGCUGGUGGGAUACUACCCUAGCUGUGUUGGCUUUCUAACCCGCACCACUUAUCGUGGUGGGAGACAGUGUCAGGCGGGCAGUUUGACUGGGGCGGUCGCCUCCUAAAAGGUAACGGAGGCGCUCAAAGGUUCCCUCAGAAUGGUUGGAAAUCAUUCAUAGAGUGUAAAGGCAUAAGGGAGCUUG
RNAcentral lists this ribosomal RNA (1231 nucleotides) under Staphylococcus aureus. RNAcentral's name for it is "partial 23S ribosomal RNA". It matches the Rfam family "Bacterial large subunit ribosomal RNA", at positions 1139 to 2371 of the family's 2925-position model. The record is from RNAcentral. Lineage: Bacteria; Bacillati; Bacillota; Bacilli; Caryophanales; Staphylococcaceae.